CCCUUAGAUGUUCUGGACCGCACGCGCGCUACACUGACGGAGGCAGCGAGCGUGUCCUUCGCCGGCAGGUGCGGGCAAUCUUGCGAGUCUCCGUCGUGCUGGGGAUAGAUGGUUGCAAUUGUCGAUCUUGAACGAGGAAUUCCUAGUAAGCGCGAGUCAUCAGCUCGCGCUGAUUACGUCCCUGCCCUUUGUACACACCGCCCGUCGCUACUACAGAGUGCCCGUGUCCAAGAAACGGUCGGACCUGUGCGGCCUCUCCGGGCGACCGGAGGGCCGUUACGGGGAAGACCCUUUAUUUGACGCGGGUCGAUGAAGUAAAAGUCGUAACA
This 329-nucleotide ribosomal RNA is filed under the name uncultured eukaryote. Its description in RNAcentral is "partial 18S ribosomal RNA". It matches the Rfam family "Eukaryotic small subunit ribosomal RNA", at positions 1470 to 1796 of the family's 1831-position model. The record is from RNAcentral.